This 727-nucleotide ribosomal RNA is filed under the name Kocuria sp. MED219. RNAcentral's name for it is "bacterial SSU rRNA". It matches the Rfam family "Bacterial small subunit ribosomal RNA", at positions 393 to 1131 of the family's 1533-position model. The record is from RNAcentral. Lineage: Bacteria; Bacillati; Actinomycetota; Actinomycetes; Micrococcales; Micrococcaceae.
GACGCCGCGUGAGGGAUGACGGCCUUCGGGUUGUAAACCUCUUUCAGUAGGGAAGAAGCGAGAGUGACGGUACCUGCAGAAGAAGCGCCGGCUAACUACGUGCCAGCAGCCGCGGUAAUACGUAGGGCGCAAGCGUUGUCCGGAAUUAUUGGGCGUAAAGAGCUCGUAGGCGGUUUGUCGCGUCUGCUGUGAAAGCCCGGGGCUCAACCCCGGGUCUGCAGUGGGUACGGGCAGACUAGAGUGCAGUAGGGGAGACUGGAAUUCCUGGUGUAGCGGUGAAAUGCGCAGAUAUCAGGAGGAACACCGAUGGCGAAGGCAGGUCUCUGGGCUGUUACUGACGCUGAGGAGCGAAAGCAUGGGGAGCGAACAGGAUUAGAUACCCUGGUAGUCCAUGCCGUAAACGUUGGGCACUAGGUGUGGGGGACAUUCCACGUUUUCCGCGCCGUAGCUAACGCAUUAAGUGCCCCGCCUGGGGAGUACGGCCGCAAGGCUAAAACUCAAAGGAAUUGACGGGGGCCCGCACAAGCGGCGGAGCAUGCGGAUUAAUUCGAUGCAACGCGAAGAACCUUACCAAGGCUUGACAUUCACCGGACCGCCCCAGAGAUGGGGUUUCCCUUCGGGGCUGGUGGACAGGUGGUGCAUGGUUGUCGUCAGCUCGUGUCGUGAGAUGUUGGGUUAAGUCCCGCAACGAGCGCAACCCUCGUUCUAUGUUGCCAGCACGUGAUGG